RNAcentral lists this ribosomal RNA (253 nucleotides) under uncultured bacterium. RNAcentral's name for it is "partial 16S ribosomal RNA". It matches the Rfam family "Bacterial small subunit ribosomal RNA", at positions 524 to 776 of the family's 1533-position model. The record is from RNAcentral.
UACGGAGGGGGCAAGCGUUGUUCGGAUUUACUGGGCGUAAAGGGCGCGUAGGCGGUCGGAGAAGUCACUUGUGAAAUCUUUGAGCUUAACUCAAAGCGGCCAAGUGAUACUCUUUAACUAGAGUGCAGAAGGGGCAACUGGAAUUCUUGGUGUAGCGGUGAAAUGCGUAGAUAUCAAGAGGAACACCUGAGGCGAAGGCGGGUUGCUGGGCUGACACUGACGCUGAGGCGCGAAAGCUAGGGGAGCAAACAGG